RNAcentral lists this ribosomal RNA (709 nucleotides) under Pseudomonas sp. Its description in RNAcentral is "partial 16S rRNA". Lineage: Bacteria; Pseudomonadati; Pseudomonadota; Gammaproteobacteria; Pseudomonadales; Pseudomonadaceae. The record is from RNAcentral.
UGUUGGUCCAGGUAGCUGCCUUCGCCAUGGAUGUUCCUCCUGAUCUCUACGCAUUUCACUGCUACACCAGGAAUUCCGCUACCCUCUACCACACUCUAGUCGCCCAGUAUCCACUGCAGUUCCCAGGUUGAGCCCAGGGCUUUCACAACGGACUUAAACGACCACCUACGCACGCUUUACGCCCAGUAAUUCCGAGUAACGCUUGCACCCUUCGUAUUACCGCGGCUGCUGGCACGAAGUUAGCCGGUGCUUAUUCUUUGGGUACCGUCAUCCCAACCGGGUAUUAGCCAGCUGGAUUUCUUUCCCAACAAAAGGGCUUUACAACCCGAAGGCCUUCUUCACCCACGCGGUAUGGCUGGAUCAGGCUUGCGCCCAUUGUCCAAUAUUCCCCACUGCUGCCUCCCGUAGGAGUCUGGACCGUGUCUCAGUUCCAGUGUGGCUGAUCAUCCUCUCAGACCAGCUACGGAUCGUCGCCUUGGUGGGCCUUUACCCCGCCAACUAGCUAAUCCGACAUCGGCUCAUUCAAUCGCGCAAGGUCCGAAGAUCCCCUGCUUUCACCCGUAGGUCGUAUGCGGUAUUAGCGUAAGUUUCCCUACGUUAUCCCCCACGACAGAGUAGAUUCCGAUGUAUUCCUCACCCGUCCGCCACUCGCCACCCAAGGAGCAAGCUCCUCUGUGCUGCCGUUCGACUUGCAUGUGUUAGGCCUACC